AUGGCCGAAUAGGAACAGCUCCGGUCUACAGCUCCCAGCGCGAGUGACACAGAAGACGGGUGAUUUCUGCAUUUCCAUCUGAGAUCAGGAUUCAUGGUGUUUUCACAGUCAUUGGUGGACAUACUCAGAGCAGCAAAAAUUGGAGUGAAAGGACAAACACAUUCCCAGCAGAGUUCAGACAAGGUGACCUUCUUGUUUCAGCCCUCAUACUGUAUGGGAGAAGGAGUGGUGGAGAAAGAGGGGUGGAUGCAUGCUUGCCUGGGUUGAGCAAAAACAAAACUUCAUUGUCUCAAAAAAAUUAGCAUGCACCUCCUUCUACACGUCACUGUGGUAAGAAGAACACAAUGAGGAUAA
Pongo pygmaeus (Bornean orangutan) is the source of this 354-nucleotide long non-coding RNA. RefSeq lists it as uncharacterized. The transcript has 3 exons. The record is from RefSeq and is a predicted model, not a curated record. NCBI's taxonomy places the organism in Eukaryota, Metazoa, Chordata, Mammalia, Primates, Hominidae.